AGUGAACGCUGGCGGUAGGCCUAACACAUGCAAGUCGAACGGCAGCACAGAGGAGCUUGCUCCUUGGGUGGCGAGUGGCGGACGGGUGAGGAAUACAUCGGAAUCUACUCUGUCGUGGGGGAUAACGUAGGGAAACUUACGCUAAUACCGCAUACGACCUACGGGUGAAAGCAGGGGACCUUCGGGCCUUGCGCGAUUGAAUGAGCCGAUGUCGGAUUAGCUAGUUGGCGGGGUAAAGGCCCACCAAGGCGACGAUCCGUAGCUGGUCUGAGAGGAUGAUCAGCCACACUGGAACUGAGACACGGUCCAGACUCCUACGGGAGGCAGCAGUGGGGAAUAUUGGACAAUGGGCGAAAGCCUGAUCCAGCCAUACCGCGUGGGUGAAGAAGGCCUUCGGGUUGUAAAGCCCUUUUGUUGGGAAAGAAAUCCAGCUGGCUAAUACCCGGUUUGGAUGACGGUACCCAAAGAAUAAGCACCGGCUAACUUCGUGCCAGCCGCCGCAGUAA
This 506-nucleotide ribosomal RNA is filed under the name uncultured bacterium. Its description in RNAcentral is "partial 16S ribosomal RNA". It matches the Rfam family "Bacterial small subunit ribosomal RNA", at positions 29 to 523 of the family's 1533-position model. The record is from RNAcentral.